This 468-nucleotide ribosomal RNA is filed under the name uncultured bacterium. RNAcentral's name for it is "partial 16S ribosomal RNA". It matches the Rfam family "Bacterial small subunit ribosomal RNA", at positions 28 to 507 of the family's 1533-position model. The record is from RNAcentral.
GACGAACGCUGGCGGCGUGCUUAACACAUGCAAGUCGAACGGAAAGGCCCUGCUUUUGUGGGGUGCUCGAGUGGCGAACGGGUGAGUAACACGUGAGUAACCUGCCCUUGACUUUGGGAUAACUUCAGGAAACUGGGGCUAAUACCGGAUAGGAGCUCCUGCUGCAUGGUGGGGGUUGGAAAGUUUCGGGGGUUGGGGAUGGAUGCGCGGGUUAUCAGCUUGUUGGUGGGGUAGGGGCUUACCAAGGCUUUGACGGGUAGCCGGCCUGGGAGGGUGGACGGGCCACAGAGGCAUGGGGGAGGGGCCAGAACGCCAUCGGGGGGAAGGGGUGGGAACUAUACACAGAAGGGCGGAGGGAUGGAGGAACAUCUCCGGGUGGGAAAACUCGGUUUUCGGGUUAAAACCCUUUUUCACGUGUCAAGGCACGUGGUGACGGUAACUGGUCAAAAAGCCACGGCUAACUACGUG